RNAcentral lists this ribosomal RNA (274 nucleotides) under uncultured bacterium. RNAcentral's name for it is "partial 16S ribosomal RNA". It matches the Rfam family "Bacterial small subunit ribosomal RNA", at positions 523 to 796 of the family's 1533-position model. The record is from RNAcentral.
AUACGGAGGGUGCAAGCGUUGUUCGGAAUCACUGGGCGUAAAGGGCGCGCAGGCGGUUUGGUAAGUCAGAUGUGAAAGCCCAUGGCUCAACCAUGGAAGUGCAUUUGAAACUGUCAGACUUGAGUACUAGAGGGGAAAGUGGAAUUCCCGGUGUAGGGGUGAAAUUCGUAGAUAUCGGGAGGAAUACCGGUGGCGAAGGCGACUUUCUGGCUAGAUACUGACGCUGAGGCGCGAAAGCGUGGGGAGCAAACAGGAUUAGAAACCCCAGUAGUCC